Molecule: long non-coding RNA, 341 nt
Organism: Dermochelys coriacea (leatherback sea turtle)
Lineage: Eukaryota; Metazoa; Chordata; Testudines; Dermochelyidae
Exons: 3
Source: RefSeq, a predicted model, not a curated record
CUAAUGGAUUCUACAUGUAACCCCCAAGGAGAUUACCUAGAUUCCUGGGGCUCUGUCUGCUGGCAGCUCAGGGAGAGGCACACUGUCCCUGGUAGGGAGGGGGAGCCAAGACAAACUCAGAGUCUGCCCGGCACCUAAUAGGGAGUGAGAUGCCUCUCCCAGGCAGUUCAGGAAAGGGGAGAAGCCACAUUUGAGUUAGUCUGGAGCCAGCCAGGGCAAGGGCAGGACUGGCUCUGUGGGGAGCUGAUGAGUCCCAGGGCUGCAUGCAGGGCUCCCCCAGAGAAAUGGCCUCAAGGGACCUGAAAGCAAAAUUCCUCAGCUAGGCUUUUCCUUCUCCCCUG